GGGGUCGUUACGGAUUCGACAGGCAUUAUGAGGCAUAUUUUGCAACUCGAGUGACGGCGUAACCGUUCAGUUAAAUAUAACUGCAAAAAAUAACACUUCUUACGCUUUAGCUGCUUAAAAACCAGCGGGCGUGACCGCUAUGAAAUGGCUUGUGUUUCAUUAGAGGUCUUAUUUUAACAAGCUACGUUUGGUUAGGGUCUAACUAACCAAAAAGAGAUGAUUAGACUCGCAAAAGAUAGGCUUGAGCCUUGUGUCAAUUUUUUGUUAAAUGAAGACAAGGCCUAUGGUUGUAGACAAAUAUGUUGGCAAGUGUUUGGACGUGGGUUCGACUCCCACCGGCUCCAUAA
Molecule: transfer-messenger RNA, 347 nt
Filed under: Streptococcaceae
Lineage: Bacteria; Bacillati; Bacillota; Bacilli; Lactobacillales
Also listed under: 1 other name
Description: Streptococcus sp007859205 Standard tmRNA
Rfam family: transfer-messenger RNA
About the family: Bacterial tmRNA, also known as 10Sa RNA or SsrA, is named for its dual tRNA and mRNA-like properties. Its role is to liberate the mRNA from a stalled ribosome.
Source: RNAcentral